Molecule: non-coding RNA, 1476 nt
Organism: Anas platyrhynchos (mallard)
Lineage: Eukaryota; Metazoa; Chordata; Aves; Anseriformes; Anatidae
Source: RefSeq, a predicted model, not a curated record
UAUCUCAGAUAAAUGCUGAAGAGUUGGAAGAUAAUUAGUAUUUAACCAAUUAAGACAGUUACAAGUUCAGGAACACAGCUCUUGGAUGUUUUUUCCCUGGUAAAUUCAGAGGGAAUGCAGUAAUUUAACGGCGUUUUCAGAACUAAGUGGAAGAGAUGGUCAAAGAGAAUUUUUUAUUUUAACAGCAGCUGCGGGAUUUCACCUUUCCCUCCCAGCUGCCUCCCAAGCCACCUCCAGCUUCUCAUUAGACAUUGUUAGAUUACAGUUGUUGGAUUACGGUCUGACCUCAGAUUGCAGCCACGUCCCAGUGGAGCAUCCCCAGAACUGCCGUGGUGCCUGGCGUUGGGUCCUUCACAAUAACAUUUAAGCAGUGCUUGCCUUUCUGGUUAGCAAAUCAUUCCCGAGUGUCUGAGGGGGGAAAAAUCCACCUUAGUGCCUGAGCAAUCUUGCUUAUGUGCCUGCAGGCAGGGCUCCUGGGCUAUGAGAGGUCUAAAAUAGGCUAACAUUUGUGCUGAUUACCAAUUAAUGUGCUUAUUGCUCCUAUUUUUUUAAUGUAAAUUACAUCAAUUUCAAGUGAAUGUUAACCUCCUUAUCUAGCAGUCAUUUCUUGCCAUUGGCACAGCUGCUAACCAUGGGGGUUACCUGGAUGGUGUCUCUUUGAGAUGUGAGGGAGUGAUGAAAUGACAAUUGGAGCAACCCUUGGAGGACCCUGGUGGGCCUGCCUCAGUGCAGCCCGGGCCCUGCCUUACCUCGGAUUGGUGCCGGAGAAGAGGAAUUAACCCUGCUUAGAAAUGAGCCUGGGGAAAAUUUAACAACCAUAUUUAUGAAAAUAUAAACAUUUAUUUAAAAACGUAUCCUGGAAUGAAUGGCCCAAGAGAAGUUGUAGGUGAGUUCAUGGCCAAAUCCAUCAAACUGCUCUCGCUGUGCUUCCACGUCCAUAGCAGUCCUGGAGGAAGGACUGCACGCCGACCCUAGGGUGGGGGCUUUGCUUUACCUCUUGGUUAAUUGCCUUGGUUCUGCAGAAACUGCAUCGGUUUCUCUCUCACGAGAGCAAACUGCUCUUUCAUCUGCUCUUCCACUUGCCGUAAACUCCUUUUGUACAAGCGAGCUGAGAGAGACUGCUCUAAUUAAGAUAUGCCAGAGCAAAGUUAAUUUUCAGAGUUUCCUCCAGAUGCCAACGGGAACACAGUGCAAUCACUCUAUAGCUAAGGUAAUUGGCUUCUGCUUCAUGCGAUGCUUGCUUACAAACAGCCAGUCAAAUGCACCAAUACAGCAGUGAGCAAACUGGUCACAGAUAUUACCAAUAAUUCUUGAAUUAAAUAAUGCUGAGUCUGUUAAUGCCUACAGUCCUGUUGCUGUGGCUAAGAGGAAAGGAGAUGCUGAUUUUACUGUUUUUUCUCAGUGGGAUGAACAGGCUGUAAAUGACUUGUGAAUUUGAAAAAACAAGGUGUUCAGCAUGUUCUUCUACUCCUUCAA